AACGGCGAGCAGCGGCGGCGGCGCGGAGAGCGCAGCGGAGGUUUUGCUGGUUUCGGACCCGAGCGGCCGGAUGGUGAAAUCCUCCCUGCAGCGGAUCCUCAACAGCCACUGCUUCGCCAGAGACAAGGAGGGGGAUAACCGCUGCGCCACGCUCCACGCCAGCUGCACCAUGCCGCUUCUCUGUCUGCACAGCCGUGGCAGCCGCAGUAGCGAGAGUUCCAGGCAGGCCGUCCACUGCUGUAGUAACCUGGGUCCAGGGCCUCGGUGGUGCUCCUGAUGUUCCUCACCCACCCCUGAAGAUCCCAGGUGGGCGAGGGAACAGUCAGCGGGAUCACAGUCUUUCAGCCAGCGUCCUCUACCCCGACGAGCGGCUGAAUGUGACCGAGGAGCCGACGUCUAACGACAAGACCCGCGUCCUGAGCAUCCAGUGCGUGCUCACAGACGCCAAGCAUGUGACCUGGAGGGCGGUGUGGAGCGGUGGCGGCCUCUGCAUUGAGCUCCCUGCCGGACCCCUGCCUGAGGGCAGCAAGGACAGCCUCGCCGCUCUCCUGGAGUUCGCUGAGGACCAGCUCCAGGCUGUCCAUGUCUUCGUCUGCUUCCGCAAGAACCGAGAUGACAGAGCCGCCCUGCUCCGAAUCUUCAGCUAUUUGGGCUUUGAGAUUGUGAGACCUGGGCACCCCCUCGUCCCUAAGAGACCCGAUGCUUGCUUCAUGGCCUACACGCCGGAGAGAGAGGCCCCAGGCGACGAGUAGGCCAGUGGCCGCGCCUCUCCUGGCUUGUUGCAUGUUGUGAUUGUGCAAAAUAAACGCUCACUCCACAGUA
Molecule: RNA transcript, 822 nt
Organism: Nannospalax galili (Upper Galilee mountains blind mole rat)
Lineage: Eukaryota; Metazoa; Chordata; Mammalia; Rodentia; Spalacidae
Gene name: ornithine decarboxylase antizyme 1 pseudogene
Exons: 1
Source: RefSeq, a predicted model, not a curated record